This 253-nucleotide ribosomal RNA is filed under the name uncultured bacterium. RNAcentral's name for it is "partial 16S ribosomal RNA". It matches the Rfam family "Bacterial small subunit ribosomal RNA", at positions 524 to 776 of the family's 1533-position model. The record is from RNAcentral.
UACGUAGGGUGCGAGCGUUAAUCGGAAUUACUGGGCGUAAAGUGUGCGCAGGUGGCCGCGCAAGUCGAGUGUGAAAUCCCCGAGCUUAACUUGGGAAUUGCGCUCGAAACUACGUGGCUCGAGUGUGGCAGAGGGGGGUGGAAUUCCACGUGUAGCAGUGAAAUGCGUAGAGAUGUGGAGGAACACCGAUGGCGAAGGCAGCCCCCUGGGCUGAGAUUGACGCUCAGGCACGAAAGCGUGGGGAGCAAACAGG